UACGUAGGUGGCAAGCGAUACUCGGAAUCACUAGGCGUAAAGCGCAGGUAGGUGGUUUGAUAAGUCUUUUGUGAAAGCUCCCGGCUUAACUGGGAGAGGCCAAGGGAAACUGUCAGACUAGAGUUUGGUAGGGGAUACUGGAAUUCCUGGUGUAGCGGUGAAAUGCGUAGAUAUCAGGAGGAACACCGGUGGCGAAGGCGGGUCUCUGGGCCGAUACUGACGCUGAGGAGCGAAAGCGUGGGGAGCGAACAGG
This 253-nucleotide ribosomal RNA is filed under the name uncultured bacterium. Its description in RNAcentral is "partial 16S ribosomal RNA". It matches the Rfam family "Bacterial small subunit ribosomal RNA", at positions 524 to 776 of the family's 1533-position model. The record is from RNAcentral.